CCGCUGGUUUAGCUCAGUGGUUACUUCGCUCAAUUGUUUCUUUCAGAAACUUAUUGAACCUCCCUGACACGGGAUCAAACCGCGGGCGCUGUCCAGCAUUUUA
Molecule: vault RNA, 103 nt
Filed under: Cyprinodon variegatus (sheepshead minnow)
Lineage: Eukaryota; Metazoa; Chordata; Actinopteri; Cyprinodontiformes; Cyprinodontidae
Description: Vault RNA (ENSCVAG00000007861.1)
Rfam family: Vault RNA
About the family: This family of RNAs are found as part of the enigmatic vault ribonucleoprotein complex. The complex consists of a major vault protein (MVP), two minor vault proteins (VPARP and TEP1), and several small untranslated RNA molecules.
Source: Rfam by way of RNAcentral